RNAcentral lists this ribosomal RNA (253 nucleotides) under uncultured bacterium. RNAcentral's name for it is "partial 16S ribosomal RNA". It matches the Rfam family "Bacterial small subunit ribosomal RNA", at positions 524 to 776 of the family's 1533-position model. The record is from RNAcentral.
UACGAAGGGGACUAGCGUUGUUCGGAAUCACUGGGCGUAAAGCGCACGUAGGCGGAUUUGUAAGUCAGGGGUGAAAUCCCGGGGCUCAACCUCGGAACUGCCUUUGAUACUGCGAAUCUUGAGUCCGAUAGAGGUGGGUGGAAUUCCUAGUGUAGAGGUGAAAUUCGUAGAUAUUAGGAAGAACACCAGUGGCGAAGGCGGCUCACUGGCCCGGUACUGACGCUGAGGCGCGAAAGCGUGGGGAGCAAACAGG